This is a long non-coding RNA of Carcharodon carcharias (great white shark), 359 nucleotides long. RefSeq lists it as uncharacterized. The transcript is spliced from 3 exons. The record is from RefSeq and is a predicted model, not a curated record. Lineage: Eukaryota; Metazoa; Chordata; Chondrichthyes; Lamniformes; Lamnidae.
CGCGGGCUGUGUCUAAACCCCUGUUAAAAAGAAACAGGAACAUAGAUCAAAAUAUGAAGUCUGAAUCUGUUUUCAUCUUCAAAUAAUGAGGGAUUUAGAAAAGAAAUCUGAAAAGUUGGAAACCAGUCAGAAGAGACAUCAACAGGAAAAAUAAACUAGGUUCAGGUUCAUUGCAGUGAGAAAUGGCAGUGCUUGUGGAUUGAAUAGAAUCAAUAUUCAGCCUUGCCCUCAUUGGAUUUAACAGAGGCCAAAGACAUGAUAAACAUUCUUUUACUAGCAUCUACUAUACAUAUUGAUCUGAACCUCAAGUGUGUACCCAAUCAUGUGUGCCAAUGUGAACUCUUCCAUUUUGUCCACAC